This 253-nucleotide ribosomal RNA is filed under the name uncultured bacterium. Its description in RNAcentral is "partial 16S ribosomal RNA". It matches the Rfam family "Bacterial small subunit ribosomal RNA", at positions 524 to 776 of the family's 1533-position model. The record is from RNAcentral.
UACGUAGGGGGCAAGCGUUGUCCGGAAUCAUUGGGCGUAAAGCGCGUGUAGGCGGUCCGGUAAGUCGGUUGUGAAAGUCCAGGGCUCAACCCUGGGAUGCCGAUCGAUACUGCCGGACUAGAGUCCGGAAGAGGCGAGUGGAAUUCCCGGUGUAGCGGUGAAAUGCGCAGAUAUCGGGAGGAACACCAAUGGCGAAGGCAGCUCGCUGGGACGUAACUGACGCUGAGACGCGAAAGCGUGGGGAGCAAACAGG